UGGGGAAUAUUGGACAAUGGACCGAGAGUCUUGAUCCCAGCAAUUCUGUGUGCACGAUGAAGUUUUUUCGGAAUGUAAAGUGCUUUCAGUUGGGAAGAAAGAAAUGACGGUACCAACAGAAGAAGUGACGGCUAAAUACGUGCCAGCAGCCGCGGUAAUACGUAUGUCACGAGCGUUAUCCGGAUUUAUUGGGCGUAAAGCGCGUCUAGGUGGUUAUAUAAGUCUGAUGUGAAAAUGCAGGGCUCAACUCUGUAUUGCGUUGGAAACUGUAUAACUAGAGUACUGGAGAGGUAAGCGGAACUACAAGUGUAGAGGUGAAAUUCGUAGAUAUUUGUAGGAAUGCCGAUGGGGAAGCCAGCUUACUGGACAGAUACUGACGCUGAAGCGCGAAAGCGUGGGUAGCAAACAGGAUUAGAUACCCUGGUAGUCCACGCUGUAAACGAUGAUUACUUAGGUGUUGGGGGUCGAACCUCAGCGCCCAAGCAAACGCGAUAAGUAAUCCGCCUGGGGNCNUNNNUNANCAAGUAUG
RNAcentral lists this ribosomal RNA (529 nucleotides) under uncultured bacterium. RNAcentral's name for it is "bacterial SSU rRNA". It matches the Rfam family "Bacterial small subunit ribosomal RNA", at positions 355 to 873 of the family's 1533-position model. The record is from RNAcentral.